UUUCUUCUCUAUUACACUAUAUCAUUUUAUGCUGGUAGUUUACCAUAUUGGUCAUUUCAUAUAUGCAGUUAUUUGUAAUGCAUUUAUCUUACUUUGGAUUGAGGGUUCGGGCUAGAAUUUAAUUUGGUGGCUUCUGGCCUGUAACUUAUCCUGUUAUGUUUAACUUUGAAAUGCUUUCAAACUAUUUGGCUUGUGAGCUAUAAAUUAAUCGCCUUUUUUUGUUCUGGGUCUGAUUACUGAGCCGGGAGGGAAAAUAAAGAAAGAAUCUCAGCACCGAUUAAACUCAUUUUUACUACUGCUUCCGUUGGUACAGCCAGAGAGGAACUCAAACAUUGUCUCCCGAUCUAUUAUUUCAAGAUGGAAUUGAAUUGCUAGGACGAUUUGAAUGAUUACGUUCAUCAUUCAAAUGGUAAAAUUCCAUUGCAAAAUGCAGAGCCUAAUUCUAGAAUGCUCUACUUAAUAUUUUCCAUCAACUGUUGUAUUUGAAAUUUUAGAUUUGAUUAAAAAUAAGGAGUAACCACCACCCUCUUGUUAGAGUUUAAAUGUGAGGUGUGAGAAAGUGGUAAAAAAUUGUGGAAUAAAACUGUUGUGUUGAUAAAG
Molecule: unclassified non-coding RNA, 600 nt
Filed under: Primulina beiliuensis
Lineage: Eukaryota; Viridiplantae; Streptophyta; Magnoliopsida; Lamiales; Gesneriaceae
Description: partial 166FR
Source: RNAcentral